CCUGAAGCACCUUAUGUACUUGAAGCGUUUUUGUGUAGGAAAGCGUUAUACCCUUGGUUUUCUGGCUUAUACAUGCAGGGAAAAUCAUAUGAAAACCUUAUUUAUAACUAUAUUUUGGGUAGAGGGAGUUAAAAACCUAUGUGAUAUAUAAAAAAAAUACUUAAUCACCGUGCGCCUCGGGUACUAAAAGUCCACCGCUUUUGUGUUUUGCGCCUCGGUUUUAGACCUCGUCGCUUUGGUGCGCCUCGCGCUUUAUAAAACCAAGUGUACAUCCGAUUCCCCAGGGAACAUACAUAGGGAGUGAAGAGUUAUUUUAAAUACCAAAAUUACGAUUCACUCCCUAUAUAUUCCCUAUAAUUUUUAUGAGGCGUUGUGAGUGAAAGAAAGAGAAAAAAGUAAUAAAUAAAAAAAGUGUUAACUUUCGUUUUGCUCUCUGUGGUUUGGUCAUUUUAACGGUUUUGCUCCAAUACUCAAAUUUUUUCUUUAGUUUUAGGUGUAGUUUGUUUUUUAAGAGGUAAAACGUCUGCGGUUUUCGGACCACAUCUGCAGACAUCUGUAGAAGAAGAGGUGGACCAAAUCUUUGCAGUCUGUAAGACGAAUGCUGUUUGUUUUUUUAACGUAUGUAGACUUCUAAAAUGAAAUAGUAGUGGUGGACGGUGGUGGUGGAUGGUGGACGGUGGUGAUGGAUGGUGGUAGUAGACGGUGGUGUGGGAAUGAAAGUCUCAAAAGGUGGUAAAUACUUUGUCCCACAUUGGUGUGGGAACAAAAUGAGUGGGUGUUUAUAAGGUAAAGCAUUUACUACUCCAUUGUAGCUUUAUGACAUGUUUUACCACAAGUCCUACCCGCGCGCGCAGGGGGGUGCAAAAAAAUGGGUUUCUGAGCUGGAAUUUGGUUGAACUCGUGCGUGCCCGCGCAUCCUGUGGAUACGAAUGCAGCUCCGAAACCCCAGGUCCCACGUGAGGCAGUUUUUACACCAAAGUACAUGCCUCUAGAAUUAAGCAAAAGGAUCAACCUCUAGAAUCAAUAUAUUUGUGGUUUGAUGAUUCUUAUGCUUAAUAAAUAAACUUUGACAAGGCCACAUGAUGAAGAUCUAUGUUACACCAAAGUACAUGAUUGAGUAAACUAUGUUAUGCCUCUAGAACUUUGAUGAUAAUAAAUGAAGAAUUUAUCACUAAAUGUUUGUCAAUAUGUAUUACAAUUAUUUAUUAAAAGCAACUAUAUUUAUACGUGAAAAUCAUAAUUGAAAAUAUUUAUAUCCCUGAAAGAAGAACAUCAGAUAUUAGUAAUGGCAAAAGCCGAAAGAAAAAUAAGAAUCACAAAAGGCGCAAAGAUAUAAAAAUUAAUAAUGAGGGAAAGGGGAUAGCCCAAGUUAAGAUAAAUUAAAGAAAACCGUUUCCGUUGGAUGUUUAGUAUCUAAAAGAUUUUCUUGUUGUUGGUAGAAAUGAUUAUUCGAAGCUUUGGAAUUUACAAUACAUGCAUCACAUAGGAAUAAAAGUGUUGAGUUGUGGAGUCUGAUGUUUUUUCGAAAGGACCUAAUCGUUAACAUGAUCAUGAAUUCCGAGAUUGCAACACCUCGGUUGGGGACCAACUCCGAACUGGUCGAGCAUGGAUCAAGAGGAGCCGAUUACAAGGUCCUCUAGGGGCAAUGCCCCUAUGUAAAUUUAUGCCUACCUACUACUACCAUUACUAAUUUACUAUUACUGUUAUUUACUUAAGAGAUUAAACACAGAAUGAUUAGGUGCUAUCUAAGAGUACCGAACUCGUCUCUGAGAGUGUAAUUGAUGUUGUGGUUGUUUUAUCAAAGGAGAGUAUCUUGCUUGUUCAAUCCUUAGAUUUGUAGAUAAUGGUUUAAAUUCUUUGAUUUAUGUUUAUGUAAUACGUAUUGUAACAUUUUAUAAUAAUUAUGUGAUUUGUAUAAACAAUCUUGUAUGCUUCUCAUAAAAUAAGGUGAGCAUCUUUAUUUAAUUUAGUGUUCUGUCUUACCUCAUACUUAGUACUAGUUAUUUUAAUUUAAUGCCUUACGAGUUGUAAGAAUUUAAGCAUUUAUAGAGAAUGUAAAAUUUGUAUUCUAUUAUAAUUUUUAAUCCUUUUUUUCAUAUUUCUAUUUGCUCUUUGUUUUCUUCUCUUGCCAGCAAGCUAGAACUAACGAAAACAUGUCGGAAGAGAACAUUACUUUUAAUGAGUUGUCAACAUGAGAAAAAUAUUUGUCUUCGACAUUUUAGUCAAUAAACCUAGGCCAUGACUUUCCGUAAAGUAUACAGUAUGAAGAAAGUUAGCAAAACCAGUUUAUUCUAUCAUUCCAAUCACUACAAAUUUGAUCUUCCGUUUCGAAUAAUCGAUGACUAUUCGUGUCAAAGAUGUUGAACAAAUAGUUAGUUCGGGCAGUCUCAUAUACCUAACUGAUCGAGUUAUAUACACUCACUCCUGUUCUCAUAAUAUCUAUUCAUAUAAUAAUUCAUGAGCAUGCAGUUUUAAGAUGCUUUGAAGUGUUCAAAGACCCUAAACAAUGCACUCUAUUAACAAUUAACAACUAGUAAUAUGCCAAAUACAAAUAACAGUUUAUAUCUAACACUU
This 2574-nucleotide long non-coding RNA is filed under the name Helianthus annuus (common sunflower). RNAcentral describes it as "hypothetical non coding rna". Lineage: Eukaryota; Viridiplantae; Streptophyta; Magnoliopsida; Asterales; Asteraceae. The record is from RNAcentral.